RNAcentral lists this ribosomal RNA (630 nucleotides) under Stenotrophomonas pavanii. Its description in RNAcentral is "bacterial SSU rRNA". It matches the Rfam family "Bacterial small subunit ribosomal RNA", at positions 196 to 807 of the family's 1533-position model. The record is from RNAcentral. Lineage: Bacteria; Pseudomonadati; Pseudomonadota; Gammaproteobacteria; Lysobacterales; Lysobacteraceae.
ACGGGUGAAAGCAGGGGACCUUCGGGCCUUGCGCGAUUGAAUGAACCGAUGUCGGAUUAGCUAGUUGGCGGGGUAAAGGCCCACCAAGGCGACCAUCCGUAGCUGGUCUGAAAGGAUGAUCAGCCACACUGGAACUGAGACACGGUCCACACUCCUACGGGAGGCAGCAGUGGGGAAUAUUGGACAAUGGGCGCAAGCCUGAUCCAGCCAUACCGCGUGGGUGAAGAAGGCCUUCGGGUUGUAAAGCCCUUUUGUUGGGAAAGAAAUCCAGCCGGCUAAUACCUGGUUGGGAUGACGGUACCCAAAGAAUAAGCACCGGCUAACUUCGUGCCACCACCCGCGGUAAUACGAAGGGUGCAAGCGUUACUCGGAAUUACUGGGCGUAAAGCGUGCGUAGGUGGUUGUUUAAGUCUGUUGUGAAAGCCCUGGGCUCAACCUGGGAACUGCAGUGGAAACUGGACAACUAGAGUGUGGUAGAGGGUAACGUAAUUCCCGGUGUAUCAGUGAAAUGCGUAGAGAUCGGAAGGAACAUCCAUGGCGAAGGCAGCUACCUGGACCAACACUGACACUGAGGCACGAAAGCGUGGGGAGCAAACAUGAUUAGAUACCCUGGUAGUCCACGCCCUAAAC